RNAcentral lists this long non-coding RNA (609 nucleotides) under Exaiptasia diaphana. RNAcentral describes it as "uncharacterized LOC110254236, transcript variant X2". The record is from RNAcentral. Lineage: Eukaryota; Metazoa; Cnidaria; Anthozoa; Actiniaria; Aiptasiidae.
UUUGAGGAGCAGAAAAAAAUUGUGAUCGAUCACAAACGAAGCAGCCUAAAAGAGCUUUAGCUAUUAAGACAAAAACAAAUCGACACCAAACUACAAUGGGAACUCGUAUUAUUACUACAUGUUGUACAAUGCAAAAUAUAGUGAUAUGUCAUAUCGUUCAAGUGGCUGAGUCCGUCGCUUUAGAUAAAACGGUGAAAUUUUAUUUUACCUUAAGUUCACAAAACCAAACCGUCUUUUCACCCGCAAGAUGAACGAAGAACAAUGUAUGAACGAAUAACUUCGAAUUCAUUUCAUUGACUGGAGAAANCGAUUCUUAAAUUGCAUAAAAACUUCUCAAAACCAGUGAAGGAUGAUUCCCCAGCAAGAAGAACUCUGCAUGAGGUAUCUGAAAGCAACAUCGAUGCCUCAAAAGGGAAUAAACAACCCGUGGAAGGUUGCAGCAAUGUAAGUUUUACAAAUCUUCAUUUAGUAGUUACAACAUCGUUUUAUGGAACUUUAAAAUAUAUUCUGCAUUUAAUGUUCGUCUGCAUUUUGUUUUUGCCAUACUUGAUACUUAUUCAGAAAUGCUAUUUUUAAGAAAUUUAGGAUGGGAAUACUUUUACUUAGUUU